CCGGGUCCAUCUAGUGCUCCCCAAGACAGAAUCAAAGCUAGAACUUUCGCUUCUCCAUCACUGUACUAGGAAGCAGCUGAUUCACUGAAGCUCUGCAAUCUUCUCCGCAGAGUUAUAAAUGUAAACUUUAUAUUUCUGUUAUUUAAUUUUGGAUGUAUAAGUUACUCUAUUAUCAGAUUUUUUUUUUGAACUCCGCAGUUAUAGGGUUGUGUAUUACUAUUGGACUUAUUGUUAGCAUUACACUAUAAAUUAAAUAUUAUGUAAUUAACUGCAAGUGAA
Non-coding RNA from Jatropha curcas, 279 nucleotides. NCBI's taxonomy places the organism in Eukaryota, Viridiplantae, Streptophyta, Magnoliopsida, Malpighiales, Euphorbiaceae. The record is from RefSeq and is a predicted model, not a curated record.